GAAAUUUCCACAUUCCUUAGGAUAUAAAUUUGUUCUUUUUCUUCAUACCUAUUGUUGGGUAUCUAUUUGUAAAUAGUUUGGUUGGCUGUAAGACUUGGUGGUGUAAACAUCACAUUAAUGUUGCUCCGUUAGGAGUGUAUAAGGCCAUUCCUUCUUAAAUGCUAUUUAUUAUUUUGAGUGAUCACUCUUUGUUUUUUCGUUUUAUUUAUUUACUUUAAUAAUGCAUGUUCGCGCUUUCUUUGGUUAGGAAAGGGCAGACUCCAGUGCUAAAUUUGGGCUUGGCCUUUUCUUGUGGCUCGACCACCUUUAACUUUGAGCUUCGGCUUUUACUCUAAUAAAUUUAAUACUUGUUCCUAACCUAUUGGGAAAGCUUGAUGCUUUCUUAACUUAACUUACUUGUUAAUUUUGGAGUCUGCCCUCUCUUUCUUCUACUUUCAUUAUUUCCCUUAACUUGGCCUCUCAAAUUGCCUCUUAAAAUUACAGCUAGAUCCGCUUGCUGGCAAAAGAUUUUAAGGUUGGUGCGGGCUGAUGCUAUUCUGAAAUAGUGCGACAUACAUUCAGGCUAGUACUGAGUUUAUAUUAUUGUUACCAUUCAUUUUACAGCAAUACCUUUUUUUUUGUUCAAUAGAAUAACUGCGAGUCUGGUGGGAUACGUAUUUGCGAUCUUUUUUGGAACCGUCAUCUGCACCUGGCUUAGAAUUUAAAGAUCCUUCUGGAUAUUCUGGUUAUGUUGGGCUGGGCUUGUUCGUCUGUGUAACGUCGGCGAGCCUGUAUGAACCAGCAAGCAAGCGUUAUUUUUUGAGACUUGGUUCCUUCCUAAUUUCUGUGAAUGCGUCUUGAUUCCUCAAGCUUGCGGGACCAGUCGUCUAUGGGAUCAAGUUCCACAAUAAAAGUUCAAUCUGUU
Long non-coding RNA from Hyalella azteca, 904 nucleotides. RefSeq lists it as uncharacterized. The transcript has 2 exons. NCBI's taxonomy places the organism in Eukaryota, Metazoa, Arthropoda, Malacostraca, Amphipoda, Hyalellidae. The record is from RefSeq and is a predicted model, not a curated record.